This 497-nucleotide ribosomal RNA is filed under the name uncultured bacterium. RNAcentral's name for it is "partial 16S ribosomal RNA". It matches the Rfam family "Bacterial small subunit ribosomal RNA", at positions 28 to 507 of the family's 1533-position model. The record is from RNAcentral.
GAUGAACGCUGGCGGCGUGCCUAAUACAUGCAAGUCGAGCGAACAGACGAGGAGCUUGCUCCUCUGACGUUAGCGGCGGACGGGUGAGUAACACGUGGAUAACCUACCUAUAAGACUGGGAUAACUUCGGGAAACCGGAGCUAAUACCGGAUAAUAUAUUGAACCGCAUGGUUCAAUAGUGAAAGACGGCUUUGCUGUCACUUAUAGAUGGAUCCGCGCCGCAUUAGCUAGUUGGUAAGGUAACGGCUUACCAAGGCAACGAUGCGUAGCCGACCUGAGAGGGUGAUCGGCCACACUGGAACUGAGACACGGUCCAGACUCCUACGGGAGGCAGCAGUAGGGAAUCUUCCGCAAUGGGCGAAAGCCUGACGGAGCAACGCCGCGUGAGUGAUGAAGGUCUUCGGAUCGUAAAACUCUGUUAUUAGGGAAGAACAAAUGUGUAAGUAACUAUGCACGUCUUGACGGUACCUAAUAAGAAAGCAACGGCUAACUACGUG